Molecule: ribosomal RNA, 517 nt
Filed under: uncultured bacterium
Lineage: Bacteria
Description: partial 16S ribosomal RNA
Rfam family: Bacterial small subunit ribosomal RNA
Source: RNAcentral
AACGAACGCUGGCGGCGUGGAUAAGACAUGCAAGUCGAACGGGAUUUUUUCCUGUAGCAAUACAGGAAAAAGUCUAGUGGCGAACGGGUGCGUAACACGUGAGCAACCUGCCGUGAAGUGGGGGAUAGCUCGCCGAAAGGCGAAUUAAUACCGCAUGUGGCCAAGGAAGACAUCUUCCUGACGCCAAAGCCGGGGCAACCUGGCGCUUCUCGAGGGGCUCGCGGCCUAUCAGCUUGUUGGUGAGGUAACGGCUCACCAAGGCUAUGACGGGUAGCUGGUCUGAGAGGACGACCAGCCACACUGGAACUGAGACACGGUCCAGACACCUACGGGUGGCAGCAGUCGAGAAUUUUUCACAAUGGGGGAAACCCUGAUGGAGCGACGCCGCGUGGAGGAUGAAGGUUUUCGGAUUGUAAACUCCUGUUAUUAGAGAACAAGGCACACGGUUUAACUGACCGUGUGUUGAUAGUAUCUGAAGAGGGAGAGACGGCUAACUCUGUGCCAGCCGCCGCAGUAA